GGUUCGAUUAUGGCUCCAGGUGGAACGCUGGCGGGAUGCUACACAUGCAAGUCGAACGGCAGCACGGACUUCGGUCUGGUGGCGAGUGGCGACGGGUGAGUAAUGUAUCGCGGAACGUGCCUAGUAGCGGGGGAUAACUACGCGAAAGCGUAGCUAAUACCACGCCCGCCCUUCGAAGCGGGGGACCUUCGGGCCUCGCACUAUUAGAGCGGCCGAUAUCGGAUUAGCUGGUUGGUGGGGUAACGGCUCACCAGAAGCGACGAUCGUAGCGCUGGUUUGAGAGGACGACCAGCCACACUGGGACGAGACACGGCCCAGACUCCUGCAGGAGGCAGCGGUGAAAUUUUGAACAGUGAAACCACCAGUCCAGCCAUCCGCGUGUGCGAUGAAGGCCUUCGGGUUGUAAAGCACUUUUGGCAGAAAGAAACGGCACGGGAUAAUACCCCGUGCAACUGACGGUACCUGCACCAGAAUAAGCACCGGCUAACUACGUGCACCACUUUAUGCGGUAAUACGUAAGUGCAAGCGUUAAUCGGAAUUACUGGGCGUAAAGCGUGCGCAGGCGGUUCGGAAAGAAAGAUGUGAAAUCCCAGAGCUUAACUUUGGAACUGCAUUUUUAACUACCGAGCUGGAAGUGUAUUAUCAGAGGAGGUGGAAUUCCGCGUGCUUAGGUGAAAUGCGUAGAUAUGCGGAGGAACACCGAUGGCGAAAACAGCCUCCUGGGAUAACACUGACGCUCAUGCACAACCGUGGGAGCAAACGAGUUAGAUACACCCUGGUAGUCCACGCCCUAAACGAUGUCAACUAGCUGUUGGGGCCUUCGGGCCUUGGUAGCGCAGCUAACUUGGCGUAAAGUUGACCGCCUGGGGAAUUACGGUCGCAAGAUUAAAACUCAAAGGAAUUGACGGGGACCCGCACAAGCCGGUGGAUGAUGUGGAUUAAUUCGAUGCAACGCGAAAACCUUACCUACCCUUGACAUGUCUGGAAUCCCGAAGAGAGAUUUGCAGGAGUGCUCGCAAGAGAACCGGAACACAGGUGCUGCGCCCAGCUGUCGUCAGCUCGUAUCAAUGAAUGUUAGGUUAGAUCCCGCAACAGGCGCAACCCUUGUCAUUAGUUGCUACGAAAGAGGGCACUCUAAUGAGACUACGGUGACAAACCGGAGGAAGGUGGGGAUUGACGUCAAGUCCUCAUGGCCCAUAUAGGUGAAUACACGUCAUACAAUGGUCGGGACAGAGGGUCGCCAACCCGCGAGAGGCCAAUCCCAGAAGCCGAUGUAGUCGGAUCGCAGUCUGCAACUCGACUGCGUGAAGUCGAUCGCUAGUAAUCGCGGAUCAGCAUGUCGCGGUGAAUACGUUCCCGGUCUUUACCGUCACCAUGGGGAGUGGGUUUGCAGAAGUAGUUAGCCUAACCGUAAGGGCGGUGCCACGGUAGGAUUCAUGACUGGGGUGAAGUCGUAACAAGGUA
This 1464-nucleotide ribosomal RNA is filed under the name uncultured Bordetella sp. Its description in RNAcentral is "partial 16S-23S ribosomal RNA intergenic spacer". It matches the Rfam family "Bacterial small subunit ribosomal RNA". Lineage: Bacteria; Pseudomonadati; Pseudomonadota; Betaproteobacteria; Burkholderiales; Alcaligenaceae. The record is from RNAcentral.